AUCUUAAUUGAUUCUUAAUCAAAUCUCAAUAAAAUCCUAAAUCAAUUUCAAUAAAAUUUUAAUAAAAUCUUAAAUCUUGAAUAAAUUCUAAUCAAAUUUUAAAUAAGUCUUAAUCAAAUCCUAAACAAUUUUCAAAUCCUAAUCUUAGUCCAAAUCAUAAUCAAACCAUAUAUUCAAAUCCUAAAUUAAAUUCCAAUAAAAUCCUAAAUCCUAACCUUAGAACAAACUUCAAUAAAAUUCUAAGCAAAUCCUAAAUCU
RNAcentral lists this long non-coding RNA (258 nucleotides) under Physcomitrium patens. RNAcentral's name for it is "long non-coding RNA (PPAT_LNC003205)". The record is from RNAcentral. Lineage: Eukaryota; Viridiplantae; Streptophyta; Bryopsida; Funariales; Funariaceae.